CUUAACUAGUCAAAAGAGGCACUAACAACUAUUAGUUGACUGUUCUUCGGUUCAGCCUAGGAUUCAUUCAGUGGCUUUUCGUAACUUGUAGUUUGUGUCCAUUACAUGAGUUUGAUGUACUUUGUGUUAUCUUCAAGUCCCAUAGAAAGCGCCCUAGAACUCCCACCCCAGGACAAUAUAUUGGCUUGAAACGCUCCAAAGACGAUGAAAAAGACGGAGAUGGCCAUAGCAGUCGAGGGAAGCACGACGAUCCUGAUGAUUCUGGACACCGUUGGUUACCAAGACGCCACAAUUCACCUCGUGAUGAAAGGAAGUCACCAAGACGCGACCAUUCACCUGGUGGUGGAAGAAGCCCAGAGAAAAGGUAUCAUCAAUCCAGUGGCUUGAAAUGACCUGUGUUUAGGUGUCUUGACAAAGGAAUUCAAGAACUUAUUUGUUGAUUUGAGGUUGUGAUUGAUCAUCAUCAUCAUCAUUAAAAUAGUAGAGAGAUUCUGUUGGAGACAGUCAUGGUUUUGCACAACACAAUGAAGUGGAAAUUACACUCUUGAGAUGGUUUGAUAUCUGCAUCAGGGGCUCACGAUCUCCUGCUCCCAGAAAAGAACAACAGAGGUAAGGCCAGCUGCCGAUUUGUCAAGCCGAUAAAGAGGGGUAUCGAUCUCCGUACACAUUCUUCACACGUUCGGACCCGCUUAGCCAUUGGGGAUGUUGGUAAAUUCCCCAGUAGACAUUCUUCACACAUUCGGGCCCGCUUAGCCAUUGGGGAUGUUGGUAAAUUUCCCAGCUCACUUGAUUCUUUGUUAGCCAUACCUUUCCAAACCUACACAAGCCCUUUGAAAUCUCUCAGAAGAUCUCGGAUCUAAUCGUGUGCAGUACGAGACAACCGAUAACGUUGGUGGUGGCUGACUUGCGGUAUCUUAUCUCUUAUAUAUCAGUUGGGCUAAGCUGGGUCGAAUUUUACUUAAAAUUGGGCAUUGGUCACCAUUAUCUUGUCAUGUCUAUUGGGCCUUCUCAUCAAAUUAAAUACCUAAUGAUUCUUACGGGUUU
Long non-coding RNA from Brassica napus (rape), 1044 nucleotides. RefSeq lists it as uncharacterized. The transcript is spliced from 2 exons. The record is from RefSeq and is a predicted model, not a curated record. NCBI's taxonomy places the organism in Eukaryota, Viridiplantae, Streptophyta, Magnoliopsida, Brassicales, Brassicaceae.